This 86-nucleotide transfer-messenger RNA is filed under the name OM182 bacterium. RNAcentral describes it as "partial transfer-messenger RNA". It matches the Rfam family "transfer-messenger RNA", at positions 1 to 86 of the family's 374-position model. From Rfam's summary of the family: Bacterial tmRNA, also known as 10Sa RNA or SsrA, is named for its dual tRNA and mRNA-like properties. Its role is to liberate the mRNA from a stalled ribosome. To accomplish this part of the tmRNA is used as a reading frame that ends in a translation stop signal. Lineage: Bacteria; Pseudomonadati; Pseudomonadota; Gammaproteobacteria. The record is from RNAcentral.
GGGGGUGAUUUGGAUUCGACGCCGGUAUCAAAACCUUAGGUGCAUGCCGAGAGGGUAGUAACUCUCGUAAAUCAAUUACUGCAACU